UUGAUCUCAAAUCAGGUAGGACUACCCGCCGAACUUAAGCAUAUCAAUAAGCGGAGGAAAAGAAACUAACAAGGAUUCCCCUAGUAACUGCGAGUGAAGCGGGAAGAGCUCAAAUUUAAAAUCUGGCGUGCCUCUGGUCGUCCGAGUUGUAGUCUGGAGAAGCGUUUUCCGUGUUGGACCGUGUACAAGUCUCUUGGAACAGGGCGUCAUAGAGGGUGAGAAUCCCGUCUUUGACACGGACUACCAACGCUUUGUGAUGCGCUCUCAAAGAGUCGAGUUGUUUGGGAAUGCAGCUCAAAAUGGGUGGUAAAUUCCAUCUAAAGCUAAAUACAGGCGAGAGACCGAUAGCGAACAAGUACCGU
This 362-nucleotide ribosomal RNA is filed under the name uncultured Thelephoraceae. RNAcentral describes it as "eukaryotic LSU rRNA". It matches the Rfam family "Eukaryotic large subunit ribosomal RNA", at positions 1 to 354 of the family's 3401-position model. Lineage: Eukaryota; Fungi; Basidiomycota; Agaricomycetes; Thelephorales; Thelephoraceae. The record is from RNAcentral.